RNAcentral lists this ribosomal RNA (253 nucleotides) under uncultured bacterium. Its description in RNAcentral is "partial 16S ribosomal RNA". It matches the Rfam family "Bacterial small subunit ribosomal RNA", at positions 524 to 776 of the family's 1533-position model. The record is from RNAcentral.
UACGGAGGGGGCGAGCGUUAUUCGGAAUUAUUGGGCGUAAAGGGCGCGUAGGCGGCUUGAUGUGUCAAAGGUGAAAUCCCUCGGCUCAACUGAGGAACUGCCUUUGAAACUGUCUGGCUUGAGUCCGGGAGAGGUGAGUGGAACUGCGAGUGUAGAGGUGAAAUUCGUAGAUAUUCGCAAGAACACCAGUGGCGAAGGCGGCUCACUGGCCCGGUACUGACGCUGAGGUGCGAAAGCCAGGGGAGCAAACAGG